CAUAGGUUAAUGAGGCGAACCGGGGGAACUGAAACAUCUAAGUACCCCGAGGAAAAGAAAUCAACCGAGAUUCCCCCAGUAGCGGCGAGCGAACGGGGAGGAGCCCAGAGCCUGAAUCAGUGUGUGUGUUAGUGGAAGCGUCUGGAAAGGCGCGCGAUACAGGGUGACAGCCCCGUACACAAAAAUGCACAUAUUGUGAGCUCGAUGAGUAGGGCGGGACACGUGGUAUCCUGUCUGAAUAUGGGGGGACCAUCCUCCAAGGCUAAAUACUCCUGACUGACCGAUAGUGAACCAGUACCGUGAGGGAAAGGCGAAAAGAACCCCGGCGAGGGGAGUGAAAAAGAACCUGAAACCGUGUACGUACAAGCAGUGGGAGCCUCUUUAUGGGGUGACUGCGUACCUUUUGUAUAAUGGGUCAGCGACUUAUAUUCUGUAGCAAGGUUAACCGAAUAGGGGAGCCGAAGGGAAACCGAGUCUUAACUGGGCGUUAAGUUGCAGGGUAUAGACCCGAAACCCGGUGAUCUAGCCAUGGGCAGGUUGAAGGUUGGGUAACACUAACUGGAGGACCGAACCGACUAAUGUUGAAAAAUUAGCGGAUGACUUGUGGCUGGGGGUGAAAGGCCAAUCAAACCGGGAGAUAGCUGGUUCUCCCCGAAAGCUAUUUAGGUAGCGCCUCGUGAAUUCAUCUCCGGGGGUAGAGCACUGUUUCGGCAAGGGGGUCAUCCCGACUUACCAACCCGAUGCAAACUGCGAAUACCGGAGAAUGUUAUCACGGGAGACACACGGCGGGUGCUAACGUCCGUCGUGAAGAGGGAAACAACCCAGACCGCCAGCUAAGGUCCCAAAGUCAUGGUUAAGUGGGAAACGAUGUGGGAAGGCCCAGACAGCCAGGAUGUUGGCUUAGAAGCAGCCAUCAUUUAAAGAAAGCGUAAUAGCUCACUGGUCGAGUCGGCCUGCGCGGAAGAUGUAACGGGGCUAAACCAUGCACCGAAGCUGCGGCAGCGACACUAUGUGUUGUUGGGUAGGGGAGCGUUCUGUAAGCCUGUGAAGGUGGCCUGUGAGGGUUGCUGGAGGUAUCAGAAGUGCGAAUGCUGACAUAAGUAACGAUAAAGCGGGUGAAAAGCCCGCUCGCCGGAAGACCAAGGGUUCCUGUCCAACGUUAAUCGGGGCAGGGUGAGUCGACCCCUAAGGCGAGGCCGAAAGGCGUAGUCGAUGGGAAACAGGUUAAUAUUCCUGUACUUGGUGUUACUGCGAAGGGGGGACGGAGAAGGCUAUGUUGGCCGGGCGACGGUUGUCCCGGUUUAAGCGUGUAGGCUGGUUUUCCAGGCAAAUCCGGAAAACCAAGGCUGAGGCGUGAUGACGAGGCACUACGGUGCUGAAGCGACAAAUGCCCUGCUUCCAGGAAAAGCCUCUAAGCAUCAGGUAACAUCAAAUCGUACCCCAAACCGACACAGGUGGUCAGGUAGAGAAUACCAAGGCGCUUGAGAGAACUCGGGUGAAGGAACUAGGCAAAAUGGUGCCGUAACUUCGGGAGAAGGCACGCUGAUAUGUAGGUGAAGCGACUUGCUCGUGGAGCUGAAAUCAGUCGAAGAUACCAGCUGGCUGCAACUGUUUAUUAAAAACACAGCACUGUGCAAACACGAAAGUGGACGUAUACGGUGUGACGCCUGCCCGGUGCCGGAAGGUUAAUUGAUGGGGUUAGCGGUAACGCGAAGCUCUUGAUCGAAGCCCCGGUAAACGGCGGCCGUAACUAUAACGGUCCUAAGGUAGCGAAAUUCCUUGUCGGGUAAGUUCCGACCUGCACGAAUGGCGUAAUGAUGGCCAGGCUGUCUCCACCCGAGACUCAGUGAAAUUGAACUCGCUGUGAAGAUGCAGUGUACCCGCGGCAAGACGGAAAGACCCCGUGAACCUUUACUAUAGCUUGACACUGAACAUUGAGCCUUGAUGUGUAGGAUAGGUGGGAGGCUUUGAAGUGUGGACGCCAGUCUGCAUGGAGCCGACCUUGAAAUACCACCCUUUAAUGUUUGAUGUUCUAACGUUGGCCCGUAAUCCGGGUUGCGGACAGUGUCUGGUGGGUAGUUUGACUGGGGCGGUCUCCUCCUAAAGAGUAACGGAGGAGCACGAAGGUUGGCUAAUCCUGGUCGGACAUCAGGAGGUUAGUGCAAUGGCAUAAGCCAGCUUGACUGCGAGCGUGACGGCGCGAGCAGGUGCGAAAGCAGGUCAUAGUGAUCCGGUGGUUCUGAAUGGAAGGGCCAUCGCUCAACGGAUAAAAGGUACUCCGGGGAUAACAGGCUGAUACCGCCCAAGAGUUCAUAUCGACGGCGGUGUUUGGCACCUCGAUGUCGGCUCAUCACAUCCUGGGGCUGAAGUAGGUCCCAAGGGUAUGGCUGUUCGCCAUUUAAAGUGGUACGCGAGCUGGGUUUAGAACGUCGUGAGACAGUUCGGUCCCUAUCUGCCGUGGGCGCUGGAGAACUGAGGGGGGCUGCUCCUAGUACGAGAGGACCGGAGUGGACGCAUCACUGGUGUUCGGGUUGUCAUGCCAAUGGCACUGCCCGGUAGCUAAAUGCGGAAGAGAUAAGUGCUGAAAGCAUCUAAGCACGAAACUUGCCCCGAGAUGAGUUCUCCCUGACUCCUUGAGAGUCCUGAAGGAACGUUGAAGACGACGACGUUGAUAGGCCGGGUGUGUAAGCGCAGCGAUGCGUUGAGCUAACCGGUACUAAUGAACCG
This 2727-nucleotide ribosomal RNA is filed under the name Escherichia coli. Its description in RNAcentral is "partial 23S ribosomal RNA". It matches the Rfam family "Bacterial large subunit ribosomal RNA". The record is from RNAcentral. Lineage: Bacteria; Pseudomonadati; Pseudomonadota; Gammaproteobacteria; Enterobacterales; Enterobacteriaceae.